GGAUAACAUGCCCUUGGGUGGGGGAUAACCUCGGGAAACUGAGAAUAAUACCCCAUAGAUCUGGAAAGCUGGAAUGCUUCCAGGUUCAAAGUUCCGGCGCCCAAGGAUUGGUCUACGGCCUAUCAGGUAGUAGUGGGUGUAACGGACCCACUAGCCUAUGACGGGUAUGGGCCUUGGGAGAGGGAGCCCAGAGAUGGACUCUGAGACACGAGUCCAGGCCCUACGGGGCGCAGCAGUCGCGAAAACUUCACAAUGGGGGCAACCCCGAUGAGGGGAUUCCAAGUGCCAGCACACAGUGUUGGCUGUUCUCUUGUCUAAAAAACAAGAGGAGUAAGGGCCGGGUAAGACGGGUGCCAGCCGCCGCGGUAAUACCCGCGGCCCUAGUGGUGGUCGAUAUUAUUGAGCCUAAAACGUCCGUAGCCGGUCUCGUAAAUCCUUGGGUAAAUCGGGCAGCUCAACUGUCCGAAUUCCGAGGAGACUGCGGGACUUGGGACCGGGAGAGGUCAGAGGUACUUCUGGGGUAGGGGUAAAAUCCUGUAAUCCUGGAAGGACCACCGGUGGCGAAGGCGUCUGACUAGAACGGAUCCGACGGUGAGGGACGAAGCCCUGGGGCGCAAACGGGAUUAGAUACCCCGGUAGUCCAGGGUGUAAACGCUGCGGGCUUGGUGUUGGGGGUCCUUCGUGGGCGCCCAGUGCCGGAGAGAAGUUGUUAAGCCUGCUGCUUGGGGAGUACGUCCGCAAGGAUGAAACUUAA
This 754-nucleotide ribosomal RNA is filed under the name uncultured archaeon. Its description in RNAcentral is "bacterial SSU rRNA". It matches the Rfam family "Archaeal small subunit ribosomal RNA", at positions 102 to 859 of the family's 1478-position model. The record is from RNAcentral.